CGGGGAGCACACAACAGGUGAGCUGCGGUUUAAUCGGACUCAACGCCGGGAAACUCACCAGAUAAGACAGCUGAAUGAUAGUCGGGCUGAAGACUCUACUUGACUAGCUGAGAGGAGGUGCAUGGCCGUCGUCAGUUCGUACUGUGAAGCAUCCUGUUAAGUCAGGCAACGAGCGAGACCCACGCCAACAGUUGCCAGCUCGUCCUCCGGGAUGGUGGGGACACUGUUGGGACCGCCUCUGCUAAAGAGGAGGAAGGAAUGGGCAACGGUAGGUCAGCAUGCCCCGAAUUAUCUGGGCUACACGCGGGCUACAAUGGGUGGGACAAUGGGUAUCGACACCGAAAGGUGAAGGCAAUCUCCUAAACCCAUCCGUAGUUCGGAUUGUGGGCUGCAACUCGCCCACAUGAAGCUGGAAUCUGUAGUAAUCGUGUCUCAAAAUGGCACGGUGAAUAUGUCCCUGCUCCUU
This 466-nucleotide ribosomal RNA is filed under the name uncultured Methanomicrobiales archaeon. RNAcentral describes it as "bacterial SSU rRNA". It matches the Rfam family "Archaeal small subunit ribosomal RNA", at positions 871 to 1337 of the family's 1478-position model. Lineage: Archaea; Methanobacteriati; Methanobacteriota; Methanomicrobia; Methanomicrobiales. The record is from RNAcentral.